This 1056-nucleotide long non-coding RNA is filed under the name Sinocyclocheilus grahami. RNAcentral's name for it is "lncRNA (ENSSGRG00000027229.1)". The record is from RNAcentral. Lineage: Eukaryota; Metazoa; Chordata; Actinopteri; Cypriniformes; Cyprinidae.
UCGAGAGGGAGGGAUCAGAGGGUAGAAGCUUCAUGCUCAAAGAGUUACACAGAGAAGGGGGAGGGAUCACUACUCAAGUUGCUCUGUGAGUGUUCUAGUCUGAGAUUUCGUAGUACUGCUUCUAGACUGAGGAACAGUCUGUCUCAUACUUCCAGGGACUAGCAGAGUUCUCCUGUGAAGGGCAUGGCUCUAUAGCAGGAGAGGUGAAGGGAGCUGAGUCAGGAGUCUGGGGAGGAGACUGGAACAUAGGCAGAACAGGCCCGGCUGAACCAAAACACGCACACGUCGCUGCACAUGCACUCUGGGAGUUCAGCGCAGGAGUGCUGCACUGUGAAACUGCAGCAAUCUUGUGCGAAUGUGUGUGUGCCUCCUUAGAGAAAGGCUGCAGUACACACUGACAAGGUGAGCCUACUGAAGGAGAAGUCUGCCACUGCAGAGAACGGAUCUGUCCACACUGAUUCAGUCAAAGCAAAGCCACAGGUGACUGCUGACGAGGAAGAAAAGCCGCAAAGGCAAGAAGAGGAGGAUAAAGAGGAGCUAGAGUUUCCUCAUGAUCUGCUGGCCAGCAUAGACCUUGACCUCAGCACUGAGCUCAGUCUCACCUGGGGAAUCUCACUUGGACCAUUUGAGAUCCACAGUUUGCCUCAGGCUGAACUAGAAUUCCGAACCCCAACUGAAGAAUAUUUUCCCCCUGCACCUGAAGAGAGUUUCCCCCCUGCGCCUGAGGAGAGUUUUCGCCCUUGGCCUGUGGAGAGUUUUCCUCCUGCACCUGAGGAGAGUUUUCCUCCUGCUCCUGUGGAGAGUUUUUCUCCUGCACCUGAGGAGAGUUUUACCCCUGUUACUAAGCAGACAGAAGAACCACUAGACUGCAGGAGCUCAGACUCAGACGGAGCAUUCGAAACCCCUGAGUCCACCACCCCUGUGAAGUCUGCUUCCCCACCAGUGCCCUCAACAGAGCCCCCCUGCACCAAAUCAGAGGGAUUGUCCCCAGAACACACAGGUACGUUUAGAUCUUCAUUCCAUUGCAAUUCACACCACAGAUUGUCUUAUGUGGAG